This 218-nucleotide ribosomal RNA is filed under the name Microsporidium sp. BPAR3. RNAcentral describes it as "partial small subunit ribosomal RNA". It matches the Rfam family "Microsporidia small subunit ribosomal RNA", at positions 69 to 246 of the family's 1311-position model. The record is from RNAcentral. Lineage: Eukaryota; Fungi; Microsporidia.
UGGUGGACCAACGAACAGCUCAGUAACACAGUUAUAAUUUACUCGUAGAUCAAAGGAUAACCAUGGUAAGCUAUGGUUAAAACAAGAAUUAGUGGUUUUCUAAUAGGAAACAACAAAGAAAAACUCUACGACUAAGUUUCUGGCCUAUUACCUAGUAGGUAGUGUAAGGGACUACCUAGGCUGUGAUGGGUAACGGGAAAUGAUCGUUUGAUACCGGA